CCAUAUUUCCUUUCACUACGUCCCCAAGUUCUUUUAUUACAAGUUAUUACAAAACUAGACCAAAAAAACAUUAAAGGAAAUAAAAGCUGAAUACAUCAAUAACUACAACAGGCCUGAAGAAGCGCAAAGCAACUUUAAUGUCCAACAUAUGCCUUUUACCAAAUCCGGGCUCCCAAAUCCGAGGCUUUAUCUUUAAAGUGUUCCAAAG
This 208-nucleotide long non-coding RNA is filed under the name Nicotiana benthamiana. RNAcentral describes it as "long non-coding RNA (NBEN_LNC017499)". Lineage: Eukaryota; Viridiplantae; Streptophyta; Magnoliopsida; Solanales; Solanaceae. The record is from RNAcentral.